CCUACGGGAGGCAGCAGUGAGGAAUAUUGGUCAAUGGACGCAAGUCUGAACCAGCCAUGCCGCGUGCAGGAAGACGGCUCUAUGAGUUGUAAACUGCUUUUGUACGAGGGUAAACGCAGAUACGCGUAUCUUUCUGAAAGUAUCGUACGAAUAAGGAUCGGCUAACUCCGUGCCAGCAGCCGCGGUAAUACGGAGGAUUCAAGCGUUAUCCGGAUUUAUUGGGUUUAAAGGGUGCGUUGGCGGUCGGAUAAGUUAGGGGUGAAAUCCCGAGGCCGAACUUCGGAAUUGCCGGUGAUACGGUUGGGCUAGAGAGUAGUUGCAGUAGGCGGAAUGUAUGGUGUAGCGGUGAAAUGCAUAGAGAUCAUACAGAACGCCGAUUGCGAAGGCAGCUUACCAAGCUACAUCUGACGUUGAAGCACGAAAGCGUGGGGAGCGAACAGGAUUAGAUACCCGUGUAGUC
Molecule: ribosomal RNA, 460 nt
Filed under: uncultured bacterium
Lineage: Bacteria
Description: partial 16S ribosomal RNA
Rfam family: Bacterial small subunit ribosomal RNA
Source: RNAcentral